RNAcentral lists this ribosomal RNA (499 nucleotides) under uncultured bacterium. RNAcentral's name for it is "partial 16S ribosomal RNA". It matches the Rfam family "Bacterial small subunit ribosomal RNA", at positions 28 to 523 of the family's 1533-position model. The record is from RNAcentral.
GAUGAACGCUAGCGGCAGGCCUAACACAUGCAAGUCGAGGGGUAUCCCGCUUUCGGGCGGGAGAGACCGGCGCACGGGUGCGUAACGCGUAUGCAACCUACCCUGUACUGGGGGAUAGCCCGGAGAAAUUCGGAUUAACACCCCAUAGUACUAAUGAAUGGCAUCAUUUAUUAGUUAAAGGUUACGGUACAGGAUGGGCAUGCGGCCUAUUAGCUAGAUGGUAAGGUAACGGCUUACCAUGGCUACGAUAGGUAGGGGGCCUGAGAGGGUGGUCCCCCACACUGGUACGGAGACACGGACCAGACGCCUACGGGAGGCAGCAGUGAGGAAUAUUGGACAAUGGGCGCAAGCCUGAUCCAGCCAUGCCGCGUGUGUGAAGAAGGCCUUCGGGUUGUAAAGCACUUUAAGUGGGGAGGAAGGUCAGUAAGUUAAUACCUUAUUGAAUUGACGCUACCCACAGAAUAAGCACCGGCUAACUCUGUGCCAGCAGCCGCAGUAA